RNAcentral lists this long non-coding RNA (1012 nucleotides) under Monodelphis domestica (gray short-tailed opossum). Its description in RNAcentral is "lncRNA (ENSMODG00000038623.1)". Lineage: Eukaryota; Metazoa; Chordata; Mammalia; Didelphimorphia; Didelphidae. The record is from RNAcentral.
AUGGUGUUUGCUUCAUUGUACACGCAGCGAGUUGCUGGAUGGAGCCCAGAAAAGGAAAUCUUCCCUGGGAUUCGGCCAUCCACAUCUUCAUCAAAGCCUUACACCGACCGACAAACAAGUCUGAUGUCCCAGGCCCACAGGGAAGGAGGGCGGCCCAUCUUCUCGGGAGAGCGCUUUGUGCCAGGCAGGCUUAGACCUGAUUUACCCUCCGGAUACUCCUCAGGCCAGCAGGGAGUUGGAGGCCAUCAUUUUACAGGUGACUCUCUGCUGGAUGCACUUUGUGUCCUUGCCAAAAUAUGAUAACCAGACUUGAAAACAGCAUGAUAGAGCUGAUUUGUUCCUGGCUGGAAUGUUGGUCCUCCUGAUACUUCUUGGGAUCUCUGGUUCCUUCAAGAUGCAGCUCAGGCUCCUGACUUCUUCAAGAAGCCUUUCUGGGACACCUCUCCUCUUCUCUGCCACUGUUAAAGGAGUAGUUGCCCCACUAAAGUUCCCUUUCAUUUGCUUUUUGUUUGGAACAGACCAAUGAAAUUGCAUGUUGUCUUCUUCAAUAGAAAUGUGUGUUCCUUGGGACUAAGCACUUUUAACUUUAGCCUUUAAGCACAUUCAUUGCCUGGAACAUAGUAUUUCAUAAAUGCUUGCUCAUUGAUUGAUUAGGAAUUAGAGAACUUUGGAUUUCUUGGAAAUCACCCAAGAGUUACCCAUGAGUUAAUCUCAGACUUGUGAUUCUUCUCUCCUUGGCCAUCAUAAAUAGUCAAGCUGGGAAAAUUUGGGUGCCUGAGCAGUUCAGCUCAAAAUCCCCAUGAGCCCCUGGGAUUUCUCAUGGAUGGAACCAUUGUUAGGCUGCCUAACUGAGGCUGGGCAGCAGUUUUUCUUAAAGCUACAGCACUUGGUUUCAACCUUCACACCACCCUCCAUUAGUUAUUUUAUUACUCUCUUGGAUUAGAGUGAGGAUCAGUUUUACAUCCCAUAAUAACACAGCAGUAUCAAUAAAAAUGCAGCCUAGUUAAGUACA